CCUACGGGUGGCAGCAGUGGGGAAUAUUGCGCAAUGGGCGAAAGCCUGACGCAGCGACGCCGCGUGAGGGAUGAAGGUCUUCGGAUCGUAAAGCUCUGUCAGCAGGGAAGAACGGUCACUGUGCUAAUCAGCAGUGAAUUGACGGUACCGGCAAAGGAAGCACCGGCUAACUCCGUGCCAGCAGCCGCGGUAAGACGGAGGGUGCGAGCGUUAAUCGGAAUUACUGGGCGUAAAGCGCUCGUAGGCGGUAUGUCAAGUCAAGGGUGAACUCCCCGCGCUCAACGUGGGAACUGCCUGUGAAACUGGCAAACUGGAGUGUGUGAGAGGAUAGUGGAAUUCCAGGUGUAGGAGUGAAAUCCGUAGAUAUCUGGAGGAACAUCAGUGGCGAAGGCGACUAUCUGGCACAUAACUGACGCUGAGGAGCGAAAGCGUGGGUAGCAAACAGGAUUAGAUACCCCGGUAGUC
This 465-nucleotide ribosomal RNA is filed under the name uncultured bacterium. Its description in RNAcentral is "partial 16S ribosomal RNA". It matches the Rfam family "Bacterial small subunit ribosomal RNA", at positions 338 to 795 of the family's 1533-position model. The record is from RNAcentral.